RNAcentral lists this transfer RNA (74 nucleotides) under Phycisphaerales bacterium. RNAcentral describes it as "tRNA-Arg". It matches the Rfam family "tRNA". From Rfam's summary of the family: Transfer RNA (tRNA) molecules are approximately 80 nucleotides in length. Their secondary structure includes four short double-helical elements and three loops (D, anti-codon, and T loops). Further hydrogen bonds mediate the characteristic L-shaped molecular structure. tRNAs have two regions of fundamental functional importance: the anti-codon, which is responsible for specific mRNA codon recognition, and the 3' end, to which the tRNAs corresponding amino acid is attached (by aminoacyl-tRNA synthetases). tRNAs cope with the degeneracy of the genetic code in two manners: having more than one tRNA (with a specific anti-codon) for a particular amino acid; and 'wobble' base-pairing, i.e. permitting non-standard base-pairing at the 3rd anti-codon position. The record is from RNAcentral. Lineage: Bacteria; Pseudomonadati; Planctomycetota; Phycisphaerae; Phycisphaerales.
GUCCCGGUAGCUCAGCUGGAUAGAGCAGCCGCCUUCUAAGCGGCAGGUCACUGGUUCGAAUCCAGUCCGGGACG